GUAUUUUUCUUGUCAUCUACUUUCACCAUGCUUGGUAUACUAUUAUUUUUGAUCUGACAACUCAUUCCCCCAUUGGAUACCUUCACAGUAUCAAAGAAGAGCACUCCGAUACAAGAGAGGUUGCUGCUUUAGAUUUAAUAUUUUAGUGAUGGGCUUCCCUUGUGGUGAUGCUCAAGGUAGAGCAAAUACCUUUGAGCUGCAAAGCAUUGUUUACCUGGGCAUUUGACCUUGGACUUUGAAUAUAUUUAACUUCGAAUAUAUCAGAGUGGCUGAUCCAUCCACCAGAACUGAUAUGACUGGAGCUUAUCCAAAAAUCAUUUGGCAAAGAAAGGGACAAAGCUCUGGACUGGAUGGUAGUGGAAGGCGAAGACUCUGCUGCACAAGAUGAGUGGCCAUUUUCUUCAAUCAGGUUGAAGGUAUCAACUAACCAAAUGCAAGAAGCUAUCUUGCUUUUGGUUUAACUAUGUGAGGUUCGCCCUCUUAAUCUCAAGGACUGGUCAUUACCAUAGUAUUAAGGAAUUUUAAAAAAAGGGAUCCGGUAUAUAUCCUUGCAAUUUGUAGAUGGCUAAUUGGUUAACCAGUAGUCUUUGAGUUGAAACUAACAUGCAUGAUGUGGUAUGAGUUCCCAUAACUUGUGCUGAUCUUCGUUAUGAUACCAAAUGUGACUAAUUUGAAUGAACAGAAACCUUGUGGCAUCCAAGUAUUCACUACUAUGCCAUGCUUUUCAUUGCA
Non-coding RNA from Elaeis guineensis (African oil palm), 732 nucleotides. NCBI's taxonomy places the organism in Eukaryota, Viridiplantae, Streptophyta, Magnoliopsida, Arecales, Arecaceae. The record is from RefSeq and is a predicted model, not a curated record.